GACGAACGCUGGCGGCGUGCUUAACACAUGCAAGUCGAACGGAAAGGCCCUGCUUUUGUGGGGUUCUCGAGUGGCGAACGGGUGAGUAACACGUGAGUAACCUGCCCUUGACUUUGGGAUAACUUCAGGAAACUGGGGCUAAUACCGGAUAGGAGCUCCUGCUGCAUGGUGGGGGUUGGAAAGUUUCGGCGGUUGGGGAUGGACUGGCGGCUUAUCAGCUUGUUGGUGGGGUAGUGGCUUACCAAGGCUUUGACGGGUAGCCGGCCUGAGAGGGUGACCGGCCACAUUGGGACUGAGAUACGCACCAGACUCCUACGGGAGGCAGCAGUGGGGAAUAUUGCACAAUGGGCGGAAGCCUGAUGCAGCAACGCCGCGUGCGGGAUGACGGCCUUCGGGUUGUAAACCGCUUUCGCCUGUGACGAAGCGUGAGUGACGGUAAUGGGUAAAGAAGCACCGGCUAACUACGUG
Molecule: ribosomal RNA, 468 nt
Filed under: uncultured bacterium
Lineage: Bacteria
Description: partial 16S ribosomal RNA
Rfam family: Bacterial small subunit ribosomal RNA
Source: RNAcentral